Molecule: non-coding RNA, 85 nt
Organism: Steinernema glaseri
Lineage: Eukaryota; Metazoa; Nematoda; Chromadorea; Rhabditida; Steinernematidae
Source: Rfam
GCUCCAUUGGCGCAGUCGGUUAGCGCGUGGUACUUAUAAGUGAUGAGAUAUGCCAAGGUCAUGGGUUCGAGCCCCAUAUGGAGCA